GAGCAAAAUCGAAGGUCCGAUUUCUUAAAGACUGGAUGGAGGGAGGGCCCUCACAACGGCCCUUAUGUGCCCCCACAGUCUUGUUAGGAACAAGAGGAGAACCUCAUCCUAACAUAAGCAAAGUCGAAGGCCCGAUUUUCUAAAGAUCGGAUCGGGGGAGAGGCCCUUACAACGGCCCUUAUGUGCUCCCACAGCCUUGUUAGGAACAGAAGGAGAACCUCGUCCUAACAAGAGCAAAGUCGAAGGCCCGAUUUUUUAAAGAUCGGAUGGGGGAGAGGCCCUUACAACGACCCUUAUGUGCCCCCACAGCCUUGUUAGGAACAGGAGGAGAACCUCAUCCUAACAUGAGCAAAGUCGAAGGCUCGAUUUUCUAAAAGAUCAGAUUGGGGGAGAAGCCCUCACAACGACCCUGAUGUGCCCUCACAGCCUUGUUAGGAAUAGGAGGAGAACUUUAUCCUAACACGAGCUGAAUCCGACUGUCGAGAACAAGGGAAAGACCUCAUCCCGAUGCAAACAAAGACUCGAUUGAUCGAC
RNAcentral lists this long non-coding RNA (534 nucleotides) under Elaeis guineensis (African oil palm). RNAcentral describes it as "long non-coding RNA (EGUI_LNC081177)". The record is from RNAcentral. Lineage: Eukaryota; Viridiplantae; Streptophyta; Magnoliopsida; Arecales; Arecaceae.